GAGUGGCGCACGGGUGAGUAACACGUGGGUAACCUGCCCUCGAGUUCGGGAUACCCUCUCGAAAGGGAGGCUAAUACCGGAUACGUUCCUCGGGUCGCGAGGCCUGGGGAAGAAAGGUGGCGAAAGCUGCCGCUCUUGGAGGGGCUCGCGGCCUAUCAGCUAGUUGGUGAGGUAACGGCUCACCAAGGCGAUGACGGGUAGCUGGUCUGAGAGGACGACCAGCCACACGGGGACUGAGACACGGCCCCGACUCCUACGGGAGGCAGCAGUGGGGAAUUGUUCGCAAUGGGCGCAAGCCUGACGACGCAACGCCGCGUGGAGGAUGAAGAUCUUCGGGUCGUAAACUCCUUUCGAUCGAGACGAAUUCCUCUGGGGUGGACAAUCCCGGAGGUUGACGGUACCGAGAGAAGAAGCCCCGGCUAACUCCGUGCCAGCAGCCGCGGUAAUACGGGGGGGGCAAGCGUUGUUCGGAAUUACUGGGCGUAAAGGGCUCGUAGGUGGCCAACUAAGUCGGACGUGAAAUCCCUCGGCUUAACCGGGGAACUGCGUCCGAUACUGGUUGGCUUGAGUUUGGGAGAGGGAUGCGGAAUUCCAGGUGUAGCGGUGAAAUGCGUAGAUAUCUGGAGGAACACCGGUGGCGAAGGCGGCAUCCUGGACCAAUAC
This 663-nucleotide ribosomal RNA is filed under the name uncultured bacterium. RNAcentral's name for it is "bacterial SSU rRNA". It matches the Rfam family "Bacterial small subunit ribosomal RNA", at positions 93 to 740 of the family's 1533-position model. The record is from RNAcentral.